RNAcentral lists this ribosomal RNA (497 nucleotides) under uncultured bacterium. Its description in RNAcentral is "partial 16S ribosomal RNA". It matches the Rfam family "Bacterial small subunit ribosomal RNA", at positions 28 to 507 of the family's 1533-position model. The record is from RNAcentral.
GAUGAACGCUGGCGGCGUGCCUAAUACAUGCAAGUCGAACGCAUAGCGAAAGGUGCUUGCCCCUUUCAAGUGAGUGGCGAACGGGUGAGUAACACGUGGACAACCUGCCUCAAGGCUGGGGAUAACAUUUGGAAACAGAUGCUAAUACCGAAUAAAACUUAGUGUCGCAUGACACAAAGUUAAAAGGCGCUUCGGCGUCACCUAGAGAUGGAUCCGCGGUGCAUUAGUUAGUUGGUGGGGUAAAGGCCUACCAAGACAAUGAUGCAUAGCCGAGUUGAGAGACUGAUCGGCCACAUUGGGACUGAGACACGGCCCAAACUCCUACGGGAGGCUGCAGUAGGGAAUCUUCCACAAAGGGCGAAAGCCUGAUGGAGCAACGCCGCGUGUGUGAUGAAGGCUUUCGGGUCGUAAAGCACUGUUGUAUGGGAAGAACAGCUAGAAUAGGAAAUGAUUUUAGUUUGACGGUACCAUACCAGAAAGGGACGGCUAAAUACGUG